This is a non-coding RNA of Paramisgurnus dabryanus, 771 nucleotides long. Lineage: Eukaryota; Metazoa; Chordata; Actinopteri; Cypriniformes; Cobitidae. The record is from RefSeq and is a predicted model, not a curated record.
GUCACAUUGUGAUUUCAGUGAAAGCUGAUAAAUACAGAGGGCUGGACAGUGGUUUCAUUCAUUAGGUAAAGAGGUGGGACAAUGAUGCUGACAGGACAGGAGGAGGUGACAUUCAGGUUAGUGACAGUACAUCAGGGCCACCAUUUAAUUUAAUGUUAAUUUAAUUGCUUCCAAAAUCAAUACUUGACAAAUCUUUAGAAUUAUUUCUGCAAAGCUGAAUUUCUCAUAGGUGGAUAAAGUAUGACAGCAAUUGUGAAGACCUUAGACGUGCAGUAUAUGGUUCUUCUCUCUUUCAUUUAUAUUGAUUUGACUUAAUUUUAUUGGUAAAUAAUAAUGGGGAUAUUCCCAAUAUAAUAUAUUUUAAAUACAUGCUUAGAACAUAUCUCAUUUGCUCAUUUGCUUUGUAUCUAAAUGAAAAGUACCUCUUUAAGGUCUAAGCUAUGUUUCAUUUUAUUUAGACAUUCAGCGCAGACAUUUUCAUCCAAAGCAACUUGAGGAAGAAAACAAGCAGCAGUUCAUCCUAAAAGUGGGCUGCUGUAAUGUUUACAUCUAUGGAAAGAGGAGCUGAGAAGAAAAGAGAGGCUGGAAAGCAGUACUUCUUGUUGAGGACAAUCCUGAAUAGGAACACUUUCUCAUACACAUAGAUUAUUAUUAGUGUUUGAUUGUUUGUUUCAUUUUUAUGAAUUGUAUUGUUUUAAUUUUUUGUUUUAUUUGAAAUGACCUAAGUUAGAUUCAUGCUAAUACUUUAACUGGACCUUGUAUCUUUGCGUG